Molecule: ribosomal RNA, 459 nt
Filed under: uncultured bacterium
Lineage: Bacteria
Description: bacterial SSU rRNA
Rfam family: Bacterial small subunit ribosomal RNA
Source: RNAcentral
GCACAAGCGGUGGAGCAUGUGGUUCAAUUCGACGCAACGCGAAGAACCUUACCAGCCCUUGACAUGUGACUCGCCGGCUCCAGAGACGGAGCCUUCGGUUCGGCCGGAGUCAACACAGGUGCUGCAUGGCUGUCGUCAGCUCGUGUCGUGAGAUGUUGGGUUAAGUCCCGCAACGAGCGCAACCCUCGUCUCCAGUUGCCAUCAGGUUAUGCUGGGCACUUUGGAGAAACUGCCGGUGACAAGCCGGAGGAAGGUGGGGAUGACGUCAAGUCCUCAUGGCCCUUACGGGCUGGGCUACACACGUGCUACAAUGGCGGUGACAAUGGGAUGCGAUGGCGCGAGCCGGAGCCGAUCCUAAAAAACCGUCUCAGUUCGGAUUGCACUCUGCAACUCGAGUGCAUGAAGUUGGAAUCGCUAGUAAUCGAGGAUCAGCAUGCCUCGGUGAAUACGUUCCCGGGC